CCAAUUAUUUGCUGCACAGUUGUGCCCACUCAAAAAUUCCUCAAGUAACCUUUUUUCUAGCUGUGCUUGUAGCUUAUAGUCUUUCACUCUCACUGUUUUCACAUUGCAGUGUUGCUUUUGCAUCUCUUUUUUUUUCCCUCGCCUGGCGGCUUCUUUUUUUUUUCCGAAAAUGGCUUUCUCUCUGUUUUCCCUCAUCGGAACGGCUGCCGUGGCUCUUCUACUUGUGGUGGCUGCGCCAAGCUCUGCUGACACCAUUACUGUCAAUGCUGCCACACAGGCAUGGCUGAAGAUGUGGAUUAAGUCUAUUCCAAACCUGCAGAUCAUUUGGUUGAACCCGAACAUUUGCUCUCGCGCUGGCAUUGAGUGCGUUUCUGCCACCAACUCCAUCAACAUUCGUCUGGAUGGCGUGACGUCCACUGGAUUCAACUUCAUCGGCACCCUCCCUGAGGUUGACAGCUCCAUCGACGGCAAUGAGCUUCAGAUCACCAGCAUCUCCGUCAGAGGCAAGGCUCGCUUCACCGGCACUAUCCCUGCGUCGUGGUCGCGCAUCACCCGGCUGACUCGCCUGGAUUUUAGCAGAACGCGGAUGAGCGGCCGGAUUCCUGAUGAGCUCGGCAGCCUCGCUACCUUGGUGUCUGUCGACUUCUCGAACUCAUACUUCUGCUACGGCCUGCCCAACUGGAACGCUUCUAGCAUGCCGAUGCUUUCACAGGCCAUUUUCACGAAUAACAACAUGCGCGGCCCGUUUGCCUCAUCCUGGUCCACCUUCCCAGCUUCCCUGAAGCUCGACAUCACCGGCAACAAGCUAUGCGGUUGCAUGCCCAGCUCGUGGGACUCCAAAUCGAACCUGGUGGCUGCUGCCAAGGCCAUGGAUGCUGGCACUGUCUCCAACUGCUUUCGUUCUUGCAACUCCGCUUCCCUGUCUUACUGCCCGGCUCCGCCCACUGGCAACGGCGCGCAGAUGAUUACGAUGACUACGGCCGUGGUUGGCCUGGUUGUCGCUGUUGCUUCCUUGGUCUUCUGAGGACUAGAGACAUGUGCUGUCUGGGCGAGCUCAGCUUGAUCGUUCUUGCACUGUACUGUGAAUUGUACUUUGAGUUAAGCUUUAUUUUACCCCUUUCCUCCCGAAAAAAGAUAUUUAUACGCUCACCUUCUCUUUAUUUAUUUUGCAUUUAUGCGUUGAUUUUUCCUUUUUGUUUCUCAGCGUCACUUUUGCCGCUUGUUCAAGAAAAAAAAGGGCGAGUUGACAUGCACAUAGCAAAGUUAGGCAGAGGAAAGCAGAAUGUGCGAGGCACUUUUGAGUUUAUUUCGCAGCGUCUUUGCUGCCACUGUUGCUGUGCAUGGAGAGGAACGACUCUGCAUCGUUUAGGCUUAUGUGCAUACACCAAAGCAGCAAGAACAACAAAAUAAUAUCUAGUACUGCCGCGAAGUCAAAAGGCAAGGAGAACGCAGUGAAACAGAAAAGGAGGGCAAGGAGAAGAGCGAGAAGGAAAGCAAAUAAAACCAUGAAAUUACCUCUCGCCUAAAUCGUCGAUUUAAACCCUUUUAUGUGCAUUUUCCGCACUUUCUCCUCUAUGCAGCCGGUGGAUCAUCAACUGCGGUGACUUUAUCCAAGCUUUUCACUCAUUUCUGGCCAUUCGUUUCGAGUUUUGCUUUGCAUGCUUUGUUUUUCCUCAUUUCCUGAUUACGAAUUUCAUAAAUCAAGAAAAAAAAUUAUGGUAGACCAAUAUAAGCAGCUAAUUGCUCCUUAAUAUAUAUAUAUAUAUAUUUGAUUCAUCAUCGUCCGCAUUUACUUUUGUUUAUGCACUGCUGCUUUAUCUUUUUGCCUUUCCUUCUUUCUCCUAGUUUCGCUCUUUUUUCUCUCUUUUUUGGUCUCGACCCCCUUUUCGAGGUAUGGGAACAGUUUUAAAAAGCUUUCUCUACUACUUUCCGUGUUUUACAACUGCUUACAGUAUUCAUCAAUUUCGUGUGUUUGCACUUACGAAAAAAAAAUGUCUCCGUCUCCUACUUUGCUUUGUAUUUGUCUUUAUUGAUCGGUCAGCUGAAAGUCAGGAGGUCGCGUGAAGAGUUUGAGCGAUUUGAAUCACGUUCGCAGUCACAAACCUACCUAUCUUUUCAGUUUUCAAGAUGAGAAAAUCACAGAGGUUACGAAUAGAAUACAAUAAUAUUAUUACAUCCAGGAAGACGACGCCUCCAUUUUUUUUGAAGUUGAAGAAUGACCUGAUCGAAGAGAGGAAGCAAUAUAACGGAUGCGGUGCCAUAUACUUUUCCCCCUCUUCAUUCUUUUUUUCUUCUGGUUCUCCUUCCAGCACCACCUUUCUCUUCCCCUUUUCAUCUCUCUUCCAUUAUCUAUUUUCCCAAGCAGCCCAUGUGAUUAAUUAUUUCUCCAUUUCAUAUAUAUUUUAUUUUUUUUUUCUUCAUGCCCUGCCCGAUACUUCCGUUCUUUCUGAUUUCUAUUUUUUCUUUCGUUAUAUAUAUAUAUAUUUAUUUAUUUAUUCGUUUUUUUCCUUUUAUUCUUGCGCCGCUAGGACUAUGGCACUUCUACCCCUGCCAGAGCCUUUGCCUUGCCUGCGUUUGCUGUGAAGGUAGCCCACCUGAUGCUGUGCUUCAUACGCUACGCUAGAUCGACAGGCCUCUUGAAGCUCACUGCACACCUCGUCGCACGCUUCAACCUUGCACGCAGUGACCUGGUCACGCACGUCUCACCCUGCGCUGCAUGGGCUUCCCCUGCCGGGUGGCUAAGGCUGCUCACCGUGCCCCUCCAAACGACAAGCUAUAAGCUCUCUGUGCAUUCGCACCUGCUCAUUCACAGGCCCCUUCCACUUGACACACCCACGCCUGUCAAAGGCGUGCGGAUUCAGGAGAAAGCGGAAUACCCUUGCUGCAACGUAGACUCAUGGUGGCGUCCCACCUGUCACGGCACACGCGGACAAGCCAUCCAAACAUGCUCUCCAUGGCAUCAAUGGAAGCGGAAAAUGAAAAGCACGAGCCCCCAGGCUAAAACCUCAUCCUGGAGCAGAUCCCAGGAUGCAAAAAUGCGAGGACUGUCAAGCAUCGCUGGCAUGGUGUGUCACCACCAAACAAGGAAUGCAGAGGCCCGAGGAGCACGACUGAUGGGCGGAAAAGGCGCAAAGAGAUCUAUACCAAUCAUCCCCAAAGUGCAUGUGUGCGAAGCAUGCGGCGUCUUCUACGUCCGGCCGGAUGGGCUGAUGAGGCGCACAUGCCGGAAGCAUGGCGAGAGCACCCCGAGUUGCACCAACGAGGUCCUUCACACCCUCAUGUGGAGAGCCACCUCACCACAUUGUGGAGUGCCGCGGCUUUGGGCGACUGAGGGAGAAGCAUGGCACACAGGCGGAGCGCAGUGUCUCCAGAGGGCCUGGCAUGAGGCUGGCCAACUUCCUUCUCGGGCCCAUCCGACAUGCACCUAGACCACCCCUUGUUACGUGCACGCAAGACGUCACUGUCUCCGCACUCGAGCAGGUCCCUGCCACCUGAGCCGCUGAAAUCAGGGCAUGCAGUCAGCCCGGGGCCUUGCUGCGCUGGUGGCGCCGCACGGACGCGAGAAGGGACGAGGAAGGAUGAGAGGAGCCCGUACAACGCAUGACCUGAUUUGACGGCUGGACGGUGCGUCCAUGACGACGAGGAUUUAGCUGUAUUUUUGCUACAGCGGUGGGUGGUGAGCUGUGGCUGUGUGCGCGUCUCCUUGCUGACGUGCUGGUGGUGGCAGAAUGGACACGUCUGAAAGAGAGAGAACAAAAGGUGAUGUCUCUUUGCUGUUCUUGUCGAGCGUGGUAACUUUCUUUUAUUAUUCUUUGAUCUGUCUGCUGUCCUCAUUGCCUUUUUCCCCUUCCACACAUCUCACGUUCUCUCGUGGGCUCGCUUGUUCGAACCCUGCGCGUGUGUCACCAUUCUUUUAACCCUCUCCUCCCAUUCUCUCUUCGUCUUUCAAGCGAAAUGCAUCUAAAACAUUUUUGCAGUCUCGUUGUCGCGUGCAUGGACGUUGGUGUGUGUAUUCAUAAUCUGUGCGUGCUUGUGAGACGCCAAAUUGCAUGUGGCGCUUGUGUGCCACUUUCUUUUUUGUCCUACCAGGAGCGAAAGAGGUUUUAGAGAUAUCGUUCGCCACCACACCACCCAAACACAUUAUUGCCCUCUUUUUCGUCUCUCUUUUCCACCUCAUGUGCCCUCCCUCUCUCCCCCUUCCCCCCUGUCUGCCUCUCUUCGUUUCGCCUUCUCUUUGGUCGCUUCGUUGAUUUGGAUUAUGGCCUCGCGUUCGUCUCCCGCUCUCUCUCCCUCUCUCUGUGUGUGUGUGUGUGUGUGUGUGUGUGCGUGUGCGUGCCAGAGAGCGGGAUGGCGAUGCUUGGCACUGUGGCAGUAGGCAUACGAGCGGAGGAAAGAACGAGAGGAAAGGGAGUAGGGAGCUCGAGCGGCAGCAAAGCGAACAGGCAUAAUCAGCGGGCCGGGGGCAUUCUGCCUUCGCACACCGCACGCAGGGCACUGCACAGGGCCAAAAGCCAAGACACAAAUCAAGAAGAAAAGAUGCGCCCAAGGAAAACGAGACGAACGGCGGAAAGCGAAGGCGGCGUUGAGGGUUGUAGGCGAGGGGCAGCUGUUGUGAAGGAAGGGAAGAGCGGCGAGACGUGCGGGGGAGAAGAGUAGGAGGAGGGGAGUGGGAAAAAGAGGACAAGGAGACAGCACAUUCAUCAAUGAUAAGACGAUCGACUGGCUCUCCCUGUCCAGGCUCACACCCCUUCCUCCCCCUACCUCCCUACACCCACACGCAAGAAGACUGACGUCCACCUCCGUCAUCCUGCCCUUCCGGUUAGCCAUCUGAUCUUUACUUCCUUUCGUUGUCGUAUUGUUUGAUCCCUGUUUCCCCUUCGUCAUGAUGACUUAUGUGCACAGUUGACGCUCUACCCCCAAACACCCCAAACACAAAUGAGCCUCCCUCUCUCCACUGAUUACGUCUCAUCCCCGCCCUGUCCUCUCUCUACGACAAUACGUGUUCUCCACGCGGCCUUUUCGUAUCGCAGAACCAACCUGUGUGUGCGUGAUGUGCGCUGUCGAACCAGAGGCCGAUAAGUGGGUGGAUGGGAGGACUUGUGUAUGCCGUCUCAUAUGUGAACAAGGGUC
RNAcentral lists this unclassified non-coding RNA (5130 nucleotides) under Leishmania donovani. RNAcentral's name for it is "gene:LdHU3.05.1390(CDS-product:surface_antigen-li ke_protein)". The record is from RNAcentral. Lineage: Eukaryota; Euglenozoa; Kinetoplastea; Trypanosomatida; Trypanosomatidae.